AUGUUGAGACAUCUUGCCGGUGAGUACAUCCUAGACCUCAGAACCGCAACCCCGUGUGGCGGUGAGGAGACAGACACUAAUCCCUCCACACCGGCCCCCGCAACGCGGAGCUCCGUCACCGGGGUGCCGCGUGCACCUGAACUGCGGGGACCGAUUGGUGGCGGUUCGCGCGGGAAGGGACCGGCGCCGCUCUGCCCGGCUCGGGUCCGGCAGUGGAGCGCGGGGUCGGAGAGGGUCUGUCCUGCUGGCUGGCGGGGGGGGGGGGGGGGGGGGGGGGGUUGCCGGUCACCUCCUGUGUGUCCGCGUCGAGCACGGGCCUUGGCUCCAGUCGUCGCCGCUCCCGUCUGGGUGGCUUCUGCUCUCAUGUCCGUUCUUCGAGCCUACAGCUCUCUCCGGCACCUUGACGUGACAGCCUGGCCGGUGGCUCUUAGGCUGGCCUCGUUCCCUGAUGCGCGCGCGCACGGUGGCCGUCCCCUCCAAGCUGUCCCUCCCGCCGCCCCGUUUGGGUGCCACACCUCCGUCCUCAUUCGGUUUAACCUGAGGAGCCCGCCCGCGUCCUCCCUGCGGGAGAGUCCUUGGCCAUUAAAUCCUCGAAUAUCUCUCCCCUUUGGCUCCGGCUCCUGGUCCGCCCCGCAGACCCCGGACACUCGGUUCUGUCUUCCUCCCCACUCUGGUCUGCGUCCUGCCCGGAUGUUUCCCGGUGACCCCUCUUCGCUGGGCCCUCCUGCAGAAGGACUCACCCUCGAGGUCACGGCCUUCAUUUCUGGCACCUCCAUUCUUCCGUUUGACCAUUUCCACGUCUUCCGCGUGUGGCCCGCUUUUCCGCUGGAUCCCCACCUCUUCUUAUUUCCCGGUCUUUGGCGUUGCCCGCCUGGGCCCUCUCUGCUUCUGCUCCCGUUGACUGGGGAUCAGGGUUUUGUUGCAUCUGGAUCGUCUUGCGAGGUUUUCCCGAGUGCCGGGCGUUUGGGUGAGGGGAGCAGAGACUGGAAUGUCUCACAGUUAGCCCUGGCGGGGCGCGUCCUCCUCACCUGCCGUUCGGCUGGGUCUGGGCCCCGUGGCAGCUCGGUGAGUGUCGCCCGGGCCUCGAGGUGGCAACAGGGCAGCACUGCUGAGGCGCUGGCCGUCAGCCUGUUUCCGAGCCGGGCCGCCAUGACCUCAGAUCACCGGAGGCUCCCUCUGCCUCCGUCCCAGGUCCAUCCACCCCGCUGCUCUUCCUGGCCCUGGCGGACCACCCUCUCCCAGGGCAAGGGCCUGGCCCUGCCACUCCUCCCAGAGGGAGCUCUCGGUUUCCGGCCCCCACUUCUGAGAGGCUGGCUUCUACUUGGGGGUUUUCUGCAGGCUGUCCCCCCCUCACACCCACUCUUACCAUUGCGAGCCCUCCGCGAGGGCUGA
This 1392-nucleotide long non-coding RNA is filed under the name Felis catus (domestic cat). RNAcentral's name for it is "lncRNA (ENSFCAG00000050830.1)". Lineage: Eukaryota; Metazoa; Chordata; Mammalia; Carnivora; Felidae. The record is from RNAcentral.